RNAcentral lists this ribosomal RNA (377 nucleotides) under uncultured bacterium. RNAcentral describes it as "bacterial SSU rRNA". It matches the Rfam family "Bacterial small subunit ribosomal RNA", at positions 524 to 898 of the family's 1533-position model. The record is from RNAcentral.
UACGUAGGGGGCGAGCGUUGUCCGGAAUCAUUGGGCGUAAAGGGCGCGUAGGCGGUUGGUUAAGUCAGGGGUGAAAUCACUGGGCUCAACUCAGUGGCUGCCUUUGAAACUGGCUGACUGGAGUGCGGGAGAGGAAAGCGGAAUUCCUGGUGUAGUGGUGAAAUGCGUAGAUAUCAGGAAGAACACCAAUGGCGAAGGCAGCUUUCUGGACCGUAACUGACGCUAAUGCGCGAAAGCGUGGGGAGCAAACAGGAUUAGAUACCCUGGUAGUCCACGCCUUAAACGUUGGGUAUUAGGUGUAGGAGGCAUUCGACCCCUUCUGUGCCGCAGUUAACGCAUUAAAUACCUCGCCUGGGGACUACGGCCGCAAGGCUAAA